GACCGUGACCUCCACGCUGCAGCAACACUCCUUGGAAAAAAGAAAAUCUGUAUUCCCGUGAAGCAGAAAAUCAUUACUAAUUAAUAAAUCACUCUUCUAAGGAAAUAUGGGAAGAUGAUGGCAUCAUCUCUCAGCAUUCUGGUGAAGAGAGAUACAGUGGAUGCGGGGGCUGCCCCAGCAGCAGCUUCUCCCUGCAGAGCUGCAGAAGAGAAGUAGCCCUUGAGCACUCACCCUCCCUCUGUGAAAACAGUGUGCCACAUUCAAGAAUUAUUAGGUCAUAAAAGAUGGCCCAGAUCCCCACUGUCUGGAGUCACAGAGUCACGUCUACACUAUAGGUACCGCGAUACCUGACAAUAGUGCUUUGCUUCAAGGUAAAAAUGAUGGAGAGUGCAAGGCAGUGAAGAAACGGCCAGUUGAGACUCAAAAUGCUGAGAAGGUUGUUCCUAAUGAAGGGAAAGAAAAUUUAAAAGAAAGAGAAUGCAGAUAGCAGGCAUUAGGGAGCAAAGAAAUGCUGGAUCAAAUUCUCUGCUGCUUCUCAUGAGAGGGAGAGCACAGGAUGUUCAGCCCAGGAAGUGGGGAUGUGGUGUUACAGAAAGGAUGAGAUGGCUGAAAGGAGCAAGUAGGGAAGGUGAAGGGAUGAGCUUGGUACAGGGCAGGCCACCAAUGGCAGCAGGGUACAGACUUGGCAGAGGGGAACCCCAGGCCCCAGCCCAGCGACAUCAUCACACUAAUGAGCAGAGGUGUGAAAUGAGAGGCGCGAGCUUCCCACAGCCCUAGCAAGUGCUGCUGGGCUUCAGCAACUCCAGGAGAGGAUGCUGUGGCCAGGGUGCCUAGAGACUACAAGCAGCUGUACCUGGUGGAGCUAAAAUAAAGGCCAAGUUAAG
This 884-nucleotide long non-coding RNA is filed under the name Anser brachyrhynchus (Pink-footed goose). Its description in RNAcentral is "lncRNA (ENSABRG00000020394.1)". The record is from RNAcentral. Lineage: Eukaryota; Metazoa; Chordata; Aves; Anseriformes; Anatidae.